AGCGGAAACGAGUUAUCUGAACCUUCGGGGGACGAUAACGGCGUCGAGCGGCGGACGGGUGAGUAAUGCCUAGGAAAUUGCCCUGAUGUGGGGGAUAACCAUUGGAAACGAUGGCUAAUACCGCAUAAUGCCUACGGGCCAAAGAGGGGGACCUUCGGGCCUCUCGCGUCAGGAUAUGCCUAGGUGGGAUUAGCUAGUUGGUGAGGUAAUGGCUCACCAAGGCGACGAUCCCUAGCUGGUCUGAGAGGAUGAUCAGCCACACUGGAACUGAGACACGGUCCAGACUCCUACGGGAGGCAGCAGUGGGGAAUAUUGCACAAUGGGCGCAAGCCUGAUGCAGCCAUGCCGCGUGUGUGAAGAAGCCUUCGGGUUGUAAAGCACUUUCAGUCGUGAGGAAGGUAGUGUAGUUAAUAGCUGCAUUAUUUGACGUUA
This 432-nucleotide ribosomal RNA is filed under the name Vibrio sp. P12-23. Its description in RNAcentral is "bacterial SSU rRNA". It matches the Rfam family "Bacterial small subunit ribosomal RNA", at positions 65 to 477 of the family's 1533-position model. The record is from RNAcentral. Lineage: Bacteria; Pseudomonadati; Pseudomonadota; Gammaproteobacteria; Vibrionales; Vibrionaceae.